UCAAUUCAAACGGCGGCCUGCGAUGACACAAAAAACAACAACAAUAAUGGCAAUCGAAUUACUAAUGCCAUUCGAAUGAAAGCAUUUAUGUCCCAUCACCCCGUACAGCGUAUGGUUGCAGAGGAGCGGAGUACCCAGAUCUCCCUGGCUUGUGUUCCCGUAUCCAUCACGGCGGAUCGCGUAGAUGGUUUUGUUGCGAAAGGAGCAGCUACUCUGAUAAUUAAGUUCGGGCUUCGUCCACACCAUCAGCUUCAUCAUCUCGUUCGUAAUGGGUCCGUCCUGUGGAGGAGGUUAUGCAGGUUGCGUUCUUUGGCAUCUCAUGCUCUGGCAGCAUCGUCUGACUGUAGUGCAGGUUCCUGGGGACAAAGCUCUUCAGCUGCAGCAGGGCCAAGUCAUGGCAAUAUGCUCUGUACUUGGGAUGCAGGACAAUCCUCUUCACGGCAAUCUUCUUCUCACUGACUGGCUCGUCAAGGCGGUUUAAGGUAUCGAGCACCACCAUCAGAUUUCUUCUUUCAGUGGGGUAGCAGCAGGAGCUGGAAGGCCUCACGGAGACGCAGCGAGCUGUGGUUACAACCCAAGAGGACGUGAUUAUGAACCCGCCGCAAAAGUGGUUGUCGCCCCAAAACCGAAUUGGCUUUGCAGUGCGAAUCGACACUACGAACUUGGAAUCAUCCAGGAUAUUUUGAUCCCAAUCUACCGAUGGUUUCCUGUCUAUAACCUGGAUUUCACAGAACACAGGCACGAAGAGCAUCAGAGACAGUAGCACACGGAUGACUGCCCUCAUUUUCGAUUUCCAAUCGCAAGAAGCAGAGUUUUUGUCAAUUCCGGAAAGGAUAAAGAGAAAUGUAUUGGAUCAUCUAUAGCAAACACGAUGGCAUAUUUGCCUAGAAGCGACUGGUGAUGCUGUUAAAGGAAAACUGGCACAAGAAUUUCAGUCGCGAAACCAAGCAAGACACGUUUGCACAGACGCAACUGUUGAUGCUUACCAACAGAAUCUGUACUAGACGCGACUGUUGAUGAAUGAGGACAAUUUAUUAAAGACUCGACUGUUGUUCGUAUUUUUAAUCAUAUUUUGCGAUUCCAACUGAACGAGGUGUCACCCCGUAUUCGAUGCUGUCUUUAUCAGCAGACGACUGCCCUCUCUCUCUCUAUCUGCACUCUGUCUGCCUGUGUGUCUUUCUCUCCGUCUCCUAUCACCUUCGCCCACUCCCUUGUUUCGGGGGAGCACUUGACUUCCGCUGAGGAACACAAAACGAAGCAAAA
Drosophila pseudoobscura is the source of this 1263-nucleotide long non-coding RNA. RefSeq lists it as uncharacterized. The record is from RefSeq and is a predicted model, not a curated record. Lineage: Eukaryota; Metazoa; Arthropoda; Insecta; Diptera; Drosophilidae. The transcript has 3 exons.